GACGAACGCUGGCGGCGUGCCUAAUACAUGCAAGUAGAACGCUGAAGAGAGGAGCUUGCUCUUCUUGGAUGAGUUGCGAACGGGUGAGUAACGCGUAGGUAACCUGCCUUGUAGCGGGGGAUAACUAUUGGAAACGAUAGCUAAUACCGCAUAACAAUGGAUGACACAUGUCAUUUAUUUGAAAGGGGCAAUUGCUCCACUACAAGAUGGACCUGCGUUGUAUUAGCUAGUAGGUGAGGUAACGGCUCACCUAGGCGACGAUACAUAGCCGACCUGAGAGGGUGAUAGGCCACACUGGGACUGAGACACGGCCCAGACUCCUACGGGAGGCAGCAGUAGGGAAUCUUCGGCAAUGGGGGCAACCCUGACCGAGCAACGCCGCGUGAGUGAAGAAGGUUUUCGGAUCGUAAAGCUCUGUUGUAAGUCAAGAACGAGUGUGAGAGUGGAAAGUUCACACUGUGACGGUAGCUUACCAGAAAGGGACGGCUAACUACGUG
This 497-nucleotide ribosomal RNA is filed under the name uncultured bacterium. Its description in RNAcentral is "partial 16S ribosomal RNA". It matches the Rfam family "Bacterial small subunit ribosomal RNA", at positions 28 to 507 of the family's 1533-position model. The record is from RNAcentral.